Molecule: ribosomal RNA, 737 nt
Filed under: Bacillus thuringiensis
Lineage: Bacteria; Bacillati; Bacillota; Bacilli; Caryophanales; Bacillaceae
Description: bacterial SSU rRNA
Rfam family: Bacterial small subunit ribosomal RNA
Source: RNAcentral
UGCUAAUACAUGCAAGUCGAGCGAAUGGAUUAAGAGCUUGCUCUUAUGAAGUUAGCGGCGGACGGGUGAGUAACACGUGGGUAACCUGCCCAUAAGACUGGGAUAACUCCGGGAAACCGGGGCUAAUACCGGAUAACAUUUUGAACCGCAUGGUUCGAAAUUGAAAGGCGGCUUCGGCUGUCACUUAUGGAUGGACCCGCGUCGCAUUAGCUAGUUGGUGAGGUAACGGCUCACCAAGGCAACGAUGCGUAGCCGACCUGAGAGGGUGAUCGGCCACACUGGGACUGAGACACGGCCCAGACUCCUACGGGAGGCAGCAGUAGGGAAUCUUCCGCAAUGGACGAAAGUCUGACGGAGCAACGCCGCGUGAGUGAUGAAGGCUUUCGGGUCGUAAAACUCUGUUGUUAGGGAAGAACAAGUGCUAGUUGAAUAAGCUGGCACCUUGACGGUACCUAACCAGAAAGCCACGGCUAACUACGUGCCAGCAGCCGCGGUAAUACGUAGGUGGCAAGCGUUAUCCGGAAUUAUUGGGCGUAAAGCGCGCGCAGGUGGUUUCUUAAGUCUGAUGUGAAAGCCCACGGCUCAACCGUGGAGGGUCAUUGGAAACUGGGAGACUUGAGUGCAGAAGAGGAAAGUGGAAUUCCAUGUGUAGCGGUGAAAUGCGUAGAGAUAUGGAGGAACACCAGUGGCGAAGGCGACUUUCUGGUCUGUAACUGACACUGAGGCGCGAAAGCGUG